This 301-nucleotide ribosomal RNA is filed under the name uncultured bacterium. RNAcentral's name for it is "partial 16S ribosomal RNA". It matches the Rfam family "Bacterial small subunit ribosomal RNA", at positions 509 to 807 of the family's 1533-position model. The record is from RNAcentral.
CAGUAGCCGCGGUAAUACGAAGGGUGCAAGCGUUAAUCGGAAUUACUGGGCGUAAAGCGCACGCAGGCGGUUUGUUAAGUCAGAUGUGAAAUCCCCGAGCUUAACUUGGGAACUGCAUUUGAAACUGGCAAGCUAGAGUCUUGUAGAGGGGGGUAGAAUUCCAGGUGUAGCGGUGAAAUGCGUAGAGAUCUGGAGGAAUACCGGUGGCGAAGGCGGCCCCCUGGACAAAGACUGACGCUCAGGUGCGAAAGCGUGGGGAGCAAACAGGAUUAGAUACCCGGGUAGUCCCUGUCUCUUAUAC